GGUUCUCCCCGAAAGCUAUUUAGGUAGCGCCUCGUGAAUUCAUCUCCGGGGGUAGAGCACUGUUUCGGCUAGGGGGCCAUCCCGGCUUACCAACCCGAUGCAAACUGCGAAUACCGGAGAAUGUUAUCACGGGAGACACACGGCGGGUGCUAACGUCCGUCGUGAAGAGGGAAACAACCCAGACCGCCAGCUAAGGUCCCAAAGUCAUGGUUAAGUGGGAAACGAUGUGGGAAGGCCCAGACAGCCAGGAUGUUGGCUUAGAAGCAGCCAUCAUUUAAAGAAAGCGUAAUAGCUCACUGGUCGAGUCGGCCUGCGCGGAAGAUGUAACGGGGCUAAACCAUG
RNAcentral lists this ribosomal RNA (342 nucleotides) under Salmonella enterica subsp. enterica. RNAcentral describes it as "partial 23S ribosomal RNA". It matches the Rfam family "Bacterial large subunit ribosomal RNA", at positions 851 to 1191 of the family's 2925-position model. Lineage: Bacteria; Pseudomonadati; Pseudomonadota; Gammaproteobacteria; Enterobacterales; Enterobacteriaceae. RNAcentral also lists the same sequence under 1 other name. The record is from RNAcentral.